GUUUGAUCCUGGCUCAGGAUGAACGCUGGCGGCGUGCCUAACACAUGCAAGUCGAGCGAGAAUUCUUUAAAUGAACCUUCGGGUGAUUCUAAAGAAGGACAGCGGCGGACGGGUGAGUAACGCGUGGGCAACCUGCCCUAUACAGAGGGAUAGCUUCGGGAAACCGGGAUUAAUACCUCAUAAAACUCUAGUAUCGCAUGAUACAUGAGUCAAAGAUUUAUCAGUAUAGGAUGGGCCCGCGUCUGAUUAGCUAGUUGGUAAGGUAAUGGCUUACCAAGGCGACGAUCAGUAGCCGACCUGAGAGGGUGAUCGGCCACACUGGAACUGAGACACGGUCCAGACUCCUACGGGAGGCAGCAGUGGGGAAUAUUGCACAGUGGGCGAAAGCCUGAUGCAGCAACGCCGCGUGAGCGAUGAAGGCCUUCGGGUCGUAAAGCUCUGUUCUAAGGGAAGAAUAAUGACGGUACCUUAGAAGGAAGCCCCGGCUAACUACGUGCCAGCAGCCGCGGUAAUACGUAGGGGGGCGAGCGUUAUCCGGAAUCAUUGGGCGUAAAGGGUGCGUAGGCGGUUAUGUAAGUUAGAGGUGAAAGGCUACGGCUCAACCGUAGUAAGCCUUUAAAACUGCAUAACUUGAGUGCAGGAGAGGAGAGUGGAAUUCCUAGUGUAGCGGUGAAAUGCGUAGAUAUUAGGAGGAACACCAGUGGCGAAGGCGACUCUCUGGACUGUAACUGACGCUGAGGCACGAAAGCGUGGGGAGCGAACAGGAUUAGAUACCCUGGUAGUCCACGCCGUAAACGAUGAGUGCUAGGUGUCGGGGGUCGAACCUCGGUGCCGCAGCUAACGCAUUAAGCACUCCGCCUGGGGAGUACGGUCGCAAGACUGAAACUCAAAGGAAUUGACGGGGACCCGCACAAGCAGCGGAGCAUGUGGUUUAAUUCGAAGCAACGCGAAGAACCUUACCAGGACUUGACAUCCUCUGCAUUACCCUUAAUCGGGGAAAUCCCUUCGGGGACAGAGAGACAGGUGGUGCAUGGUUGUCGUCAGCUCGUGUCGUGAGAUGUUGGGUUAAGUCCCGCAACGAGCGCAACCCUUGUCUUUAGUUGCCAGCAAGUAAUGUUGGGCACUCUAGAGAGACUGCCGGGGAUAACUCGGAGGAAGGUGGGGAUGACGUCAAAUCAUCAUGCCCCUUAUGUUCUGGGCUACACACGUGCUACAAUGGCUGGUACAACGGGAAGCGAAAGAGUAAUCUGGAGCAAAUCCUAUAAAGCCAGUCUCAGUUCGGAUUGUGGGCUGAAACUCGCCCACAUGAAGCUGGAGUUGCUAGUAAUCGUGGAUCAGAAUGCCACGGUGAAUGCGUUCCCGGGUCUUGUACACACCGCCCGUCACGCCAUGGAAGUUGGGGGCACCCGAAGUCAGCUAUCUAACCGCAAGGAGGAAGCUGCCGAAGGUGAAAUCAAUGACUAGGGUGAAGUCGUAACAAGGUAGCCG
Molecule: ribosomal RNA, 1488 nt
Filed under: uncultured bacterium
Lineage: Bacteria
Description: bacterial SSU rRNA
Rfam family: Bacterial small subunit ribosomal RNA
Source: RNAcentral